RNAcentral lists this ribosomal RNA (252 nucleotides) under uncultured prokaryote. RNAcentral's name for it is "partial 16S rRNA". It matches the Rfam family "Archaeal small subunit ribosomal RNA", at positions 475 to 726 of the family's 1478-position model. The record is from RNAcentral.
ACCGGAGGCUCGAGUGGUGGCCACUAUUAAUUGGCUUAAAGCGUUCGUAGCUUAGUUGUUAAGUCUUUUGGGAAAUCUUCCGGCUCAACCGGAAGGCGUCUCAGGGAUACUGGCAGGCUAGGGACCGGAAGAGGUGAGAGGUACUCCAGGGGUAGGAGUGAAAUCCUGUAAUCCUUGGGGGACCACCUGUGGCGAAGGCGUCUCACCAGGACGGCUCCGACAGUGAGGAACGAAAGCUGGGGGAGCAAACCG